GGGGUUGUGGCUCAAGUGGUAGAGUGCUCGUCGAGGACGUGUGAGGCACUGGGUUCGAUCCUCAGCACCACA
Molecule: transfer RNA, 72 nt
Filed under: Marmota monax (woodchuck)
Lineage: Eukaryota; Metazoa; Chordata; Mammalia; Rodentia; Sciuridae
Description: tRNA.Pro
Source: RNAcentral